This 407-nucleotide ribosomal RNA is filed under the name uncultured Actinomycetales bacterium. Its description in RNAcentral is "partial 16S ribosomal RNA". It matches the Rfam family "Bacterial small subunit ribosomal RNA", at positions 355 to 774 of the family's 1533-position model. The record is from RNAcentral. Lineage: Bacteria; Bacillati; Actinomycetota; Actinomycetes; Actinomycetales.
UGGGGAAUAUUGCGCAAUGGGCGAAAGCCUGACGCAGCGACGCCGCGUGGGGGAUGAAGGCCUUCGGGUUGUAAACCCCUUUCAGCAGGGACGAAGCGAAAGUGACGGUACCUGCAGAAGAAGCGCCGGCUAACUACGUGCCAGCAGCCGCGGUAACACGUAGGGCGCAAGCGUUGUCCGGAAUUAUUGGGCGUAAAGAGCUCGUAGGCGGUCUGUUGCGUCUGCUGUGAAAACUCGGGGCUUAACCCCGAGCCUGCAGUGGAUACGGGCAGACUAGAGGUAGGUAGGGGAGAAUGGAAUUCCCGGUGUAGCGGUGAAAUGCGCAGAUAUCGGGAGGAACACCGGUGGCGAAGGCGGUUCUCUGGGCCUUACCUGACGCUGAGGAGCGAAAGCGUGGGGAGCGAACA